Molecule: unclassified non-coding RNA, 231 nt
Filed under: Hevea brasiliensis (rubber tree)
Lineage: Eukaryota; Viridiplantae; Streptophyta; Magnoliopsida; Malpighiales; Euphorbiaceae
Source: RNAcentral
UUUUGAUCACAUCCUAAAAAACUCCUACUGAGAUCAUCAGGAUGGUUAAAAUGAUGGCUGACUCCUGUCUUCAACAAGACAAUUUCUACGCACAAACACAUCAUUUUUUUAAGCUUAUAAUAACUAGUGUUACUAAUAUUCCUCCCUCUAGAAUAACACAGCAAAGGCGGAUUAUUUCUUUAGCAUUAGAUGUUUCUGUUGCUUAUCAGUAAACUCAAGACUCUAUUUAUG